GCCUUGUGAGAUAAUGGCUUGGGAUGCACACAAAAAAACGUUAGACGGAGGGCCGACGGCACGGAGAGUUCACGUUACACUGUCGGCGAAAUGAAAAGGUGAUUAAAAAACAAGACCAAAAUGAUAAUAGGAGCUUGAAGGAAAGUAAGCAGUGCCAAGAGGAAGAACAGCAGAAAUGGAAAGAAACAUCAAAAGUAAAAGGGAAGAAAAAACGACUGAAGAAAAGAAAGUACACUCAGCACAGUACUUCUGUGUUUAGCUGUGACUCUAAUGGAUGAAGCCACCGAGGAAGCAAUUGCUGCCAAAAGCUAUAUGUACUCGCUAAGUGGGGUUUUUUAGCAGAAGAAAGUACACGUGGUCCAGUGCUUCCAGGAUUAGCCAUGUCUCUUAACUGGAAGGAGUCACUAAUGUUGCCAUUAGACACUACUCUCCUGGUUUUCCUUUUAGCAUAGAAAGAACACCAAACCAACCUGGUUUCUAUGUUUCUCGGUCCCUUCAUACCCCAGCUGGCUGUUGUAGAUGCUGAAGAGUAUAAAGGAAUUAGACGGUCAAGUUAAAACAGGAGUUUAUUUAGCUGGAUGUAAAUACACCUUGAGAUUAUGCUUGUAGUAACUUUUUAUAUCUAAAGCUUUGUAUAAAACAAAGUGUAGGAAAGAAAAAGAACAGCACUAGCAUCAGGAGCAGGGAGGAAAGGAAGAGAGACAGAAUGAAAUCUUUCAUCUGAGUUCAGCAGAAAAAGUAGCAGAUAUAAGGAGUCCAUCUGAUCCACCUCAGUACUUGGGAACAGACAGUAAACCUGAAGGAGAGGAGAUGAACAAAUGGAAAAUGGCUGUCUGUGGUCAAGCAGAGGAAUGAAACCAGGAUCGAUCAACGACAGACGACAAUCAUGCACAAACGGGCUGAAGAUGGAACGCUGCAUGCCUGGCGGAUGAAGAACUGGAGAAAAGAAGGAGUGAAACUCCACUGCAGCGUCUAUUUGGAGGGACGCCACACCACACAAGGGCCAGCCAAAGGUUUGAAAUAACCACAGACUUCUGAAUGUUCUAUAUAUAGGCAGAGUGAUAAGAUCUGUGGAAAAGCAGCAGCCAGAGGACUGAAGCUAACAAAACGGCCUCCUGCGCUCACCAAAUUGUUUAGCAGUGUUAGAGGACAGGAGGACGCUGCCUUGUUCUGGAAACUGAGGAACAAUUUGAUUCAAAGGUUAAAAUUCUGGCUUGUGUAAAGUGGCCAGAAAAAACAAAUGUAUUAAAUAUGAAUCAAGAUUUAAAGGUAAUAAACAAAA
Molecule: long non-coding RNA, 1282 nt
Organism: Girardinichthys multiradiatus
Lineage: Eukaryota; Metazoa; Chordata; Actinopteri; Cyprinodontiformes; Goodeidae
Exons: 3
Source: RefSeq, a predicted model, not a curated record